GACGAACGCUGGCGGCGUGCUUAACACAUGCAAGUCGAACGGGUCUGCCCUGUUUUUUGCGGGGUGGGUCAGUGGCGAACGGGUGAGUAACACGUGAGUAACCUGCCCCUCACUUCUGGAUAACCGCUUGAAAGGGUGGCUAAUACGGGGUGUUCUGGCUGUGCCGCAUGGUGUGGCUGGGAAAGAUUCACUUUUGUGGUGUUUUGGUGGGGGAUGGGCUCGCGGCCUAUCAGCUUGUUGGUGGGGUGAUGGCCUGCCAAGGCUUUGACGGGUAGCCGGCCUGGGAGGGUGGGCGGUCACACUGGGGCUGAGGUACGGCCCAGACUCCUGCGGGAGGCAGCAGUGGGGGGUAUUGCACAAUGGGCGGAAGCCUGAUGCAGCGACGUCGCGUGAGGGAUGGAGGCCUUCGGGUUGUGAACCUCUUUCGCCGGUGAAGAAGGUCCUGCUCUUUGUGGUGGGGUUGACGGUAGCCGGGUUAUGAAGCGCCGGCUAACUACGUG
Molecule: ribosomal RNA, 500 nt
Filed under: uncultured bacterium
Lineage: Bacteria
Description: partial 16S ribosomal RNA
Rfam family: Bacterial small subunit ribosomal RNA
Source: RNAcentral